CCCCGCGGCAUAUGGAGGUUCCCGGGCGAGGGGUCGAAUCAGAGCUGCAGCUGCCAGCCUGCACCACAGCCACAGCAACGCCAAAUCUGAGCCGUGUCUGCGACCCACACCACAGCUCACAGCAAUGCUGGAUCCUUCACCCACUGAGCAAGGCCAGGGAUCGAACCCACAUCAUCAUGGAUCCUAGUCAGAUUCGUUUCUGCUGAGCCUCGACGGGAACUCUCUGCUGUCUGUGGCUUUCUCUGCCAUCUGUCUGUCUGUCCGUCCUUCCUUUCUAGACUGUGGGAGGCCACGUGACAAGAUCACACAGCUCCAGACUCAGGCAGGGCAGAAGCACCUGCUAGGGAGCCUUCUUCCCUGGGUGGGUGGCCUCACCUGGACGUGCCUGACCUCUGGCUCUCACGCACCUGUCGGCAGCCCACGCACGCCUGUGACCUUCCUCUCUCAGCUCCUGAAGAUACUGAGCCGGGUCCCUGAACUUGGAGGGCAGGGCCUGGUCACUGAGGGCAGAGGCUGGUGGCUGCAGGCAGGGCUCGGGCAAAUGAGUGGCACAAGGAAGAGGGAAGGAAGACAGAGACGAGGAAGUGGGGACAGGGGACAGAGGGCGGGGAAGGGAGCAGGGUGAGAGAGGGAGCAGAACGGAGGGCCGAGGGGUGGCGAGCACGGGGGCCGGCGGCAGGGGUCUCCCAGCGCCUCACCUGCUCUGCAUUCCCUCAAAAGGUCCUGGGUCCAGAGGGCAGCCUGGUCCUGGCUAUGACCAAGGCCACCUGCUCUUGGCACUUCUGGUCUGGCCAUGGGAGCAGCUCCUGGCAGCCCCUUGCCCUGGCUGGCACCUAGCACGGCCCCACCCAGGGGCAGGGGGGCCGCAGUGGGGCUGAGGCCUCACCCGUGCUCUGCACCAGUGGCUCCAGACAGACUGACCCUUGACCCCAGGCACAGUGCAAGCACCCCGACCCAACCCCGCCAGAGACGGACACUCGCCCUCGGCCAAGAAUGGACUUCUGAUCCCAGCCACAGUCUCUGGCCCCAGCCUGACACUGGCCCUGCUACAGACCGACCUCUGACCCCAGCCCCAGCCUCAGCCUGAACCCUGAUGCUGGCAGAGGCUCACAGUGGUGACCAUUUCGUGGACACGUCCCUCUGGGGACCGUGUGAGAAGCAGGGCCGUUCACCUGCGGGUAAGAAGCUCCAUCGACGCCGCCGUGGCGCACACGGAGACCUCGGGGCCUGCAGUGACUGGCGAGGGCCCAGGGCGCUUGUGUGCAGGCUGGACGUUCACAUGCAGCCAGGCCCGGGGUGCAGCCCCAACAGGGGCAAAUGGGCACGCGGAGCCCCACAGGUGUGCUGAGAUGCACAGGCCAAGCAGGCCCACGCAUGCACACACACACACAUGCACACACACGCCCUGCCCUUCUCCCUGGACCACAGCCCCUCCAGCCCAGCCCAGAGGCUCCCCAGGCACCAGGAAUGACAAGAGGGUUCCUAAGGGAAGCCAGCAGGAGGGCGAGUGCUGCCCCCUCCCCCAAACCCACUGCAGAUCGGAGGCAGCCAGGACACGCAGGAACACAAAGUGCCCCCGUCAGACACACUCGUGUGCUUCUAUGUGUGCAGGGAGGUGUGUACGGGGCGUGUGCACACAUGCAAGGCCACAGAGCAAGGCCACGCAGACCCCUCUGCAAGAGAGCAGUGCACAGCCGCACACCCGCCGCCACGUCACUGUCCCGACUCGAGUUUGCGGCUGUCUACACCAGGUGGCUAACCACUCCUCGGGUGACCCUCCAGCCUCUUCCCAGCUCAGCCCCCCUCAACUUAGUGGCUCCAGGAUUCUGGCCCAGGGGCCCUCCUGGCCCCCAGCCCCCAGCCUCAGGCAUGGGAGGCCCACCAGCGUCCUGCUGACCACGUCCCACAAGGACCCGGGCUGGCUGUGAACCCGUGGGCUUCGGCACGACUGGGCCAUCCCUCCGGAGGGAGACAGCCCCCUGCUCCAGCUUCUCCUGGGGACACGCAACUCGGAAGCAAGAAUCCAGGAUGGCCUGAGUCUGCAGACAUGGCCUCUGGAAGGGUGAGAGGAUGGAGAAGAAACUGCUGAUCAGAAAGGAGAGGGGGCAGUUCCCGUCGUGGCGCAGAUUAACGAAUCUGCCUAGGAACCAUGAGGUUGCGGGUUCAAUUCCUGGCCUCGCUCCGUGGGUUAAGGGUCUGACAUUGCCGUGAGCUGUGGUGUAGGUCGCAGUCGCAGCUCGGAUCCCGCGUGGCUGUGGCUGUGGUGCAGGCCGGCCGCUGUAGCUCUGAUUCGACCCCUAGCCUGGGAACAUCCAUAUGCCACGGGGGCGGCCCUAGAAAAAGGGAAAAAAAAGAAAGAAAGAAAGAAAGGAGAGUGGGGAUGGGAGGGGGUCUGUGGAGGGGGCUGCGGAGACUAUUCUGGUGCUUCUCCUUCUGGUUUGGCUGCACCCCAAAUUCCCCCGUGUGGGCAGGGGGCCGCCGUGCUGACUCGCCAGCACGCCCCUGGAGUGGCCCCACAGCCUUGAGGCAGGUGUUCUUGGUCCAUCUUAGAGGCACAAGGAGUGGGACCAGCCGGUACCACCCCAGUGUCCCCAGCACAUCCCAAGGAGCUGUCUUGGUCCCCCGUUCUGCCCAGGACCCAGCUCAGAGCAGUCCACCCAGCCGGACCCUGGCUGCAGACGCCCGCUGGGCUCUCCAGGAAUUGCUGGCGCUAAAGUCAUGAUCCCAGCCUCCCAGAUGAACCAGUGUAAGUCCAGCUCUGGGACACCCCGGCUGUGCGUCCCCAGGCAGCUCCGCACCCUCUCUGGGCCUGGUCUCCAAGCUGGGAGAAGGGAUGGGGCGCCUGCUUAUCUCAUGGGGCAGGGGGCUGGACGGCAGACUUCUAAGCGGCAAAUCUCUCUCCCUAAACUUAGCAAAAAGCUCACCGUGGAAACCAGGAGACCCCACCCCACCCGGCGCGAGAACCUUCACGGGACAGGCUGACGCGGCCCGGAGCCAAGGCGCCCCCAGCCCGCGGGUGUUUCCAGCUGCGGCCCCGCACUCCCCGGGGGCCCCUGCCAGUCAGCUUGCUGCGAGGCCCGCGCCCCCCCAACACGGGUGGGGGACUGCGCUGCUCGGCCACGGUCUUUCCACCUUUAAAACAGGACCAACCGGACCCGGCAUCUGAAGUCAGUGCGGGACUCGCCCGCCUCACGCGCUCAGGGUUCUUCCCUCCAGACGCCGAGCUUUC
This 3229-nucleotide long non-coding RNA is filed under the name Sus scrofa (pig). RNAcentral's name for it is "lncRNA (ENSSSCG00000052930.1)". Lineage: Eukaryota; Metazoa; Chordata; Mammalia; Artiodactyla; Suidae. The record is from RNAcentral.